This 645-nucleotide ribosomal RNA is filed under the name Vibrio sp. SCSA1. Its description in RNAcentral is "bacterial SSU rRNA". It matches the Rfam family "Bacterial small subunit ribosomal RNA", at positions 73 to 737 of the family's 1533-position model. The record is from RNAcentral. Lineage: Bacteria; Pseudomonadati; Pseudomonadota; Gammaproteobacteria; Vibrionales; Vibrionaceae.
AUACAAUCUCGGUGCUUAUGGCUCGACGCGACGGUGAGUAAUGCCUAGGAAUUSCUUGAUGUGGGGAUACCAUUGAAACGAUGGCUAAUACCGCAUAAUGCUACGGCCAAAGAGGGGAUCUUCGGRCCUCUCGCGUCAAGAUAUGCCUAGGUGGGAUUAGCUAGUUGGUGAGGUAAUGGCUCACCAAGGCGACGAUCCCUAGCUGGUCUGAGAGGAUGAUCAGCCACACUGGAACUGAGACACGGUCCAGACUCUACGGAGGCAGCAGUGGGAAUAUUGCACAAUGGCGAAAGCCUGAUGCAGCCAUGCCGCGUGUAUGAAGAAGGCUUCGGGUUGUAAAGUACUUUCAGUUGUGAGGAAGGGUGUGUAGUUAAUMUGCGCAUCUUGACGUUAGCAACAGAAGAAGCACCGGCUAACUCCGUGCCAGCAGCCGCGUAAUACGGAGGUGCGAGCGUUAAUCGGAAUUACUGGCGUAAAGCGCAUGCAGUGUUUAUAAGUCAGAUGUGAAAGCCCGGGCUCAACCUCGGAACUGCAUUUGAAACUGGUGAACUAGAGUGCUGUAGAGGGGGGUAGAAUNUCAGGUGUAGCGGUGAAAUGCGUAGAGAUCUGAAGGAAUACCAGUGCGAAGGCGGCCCCCUGKACAGA